GGGAGGCAGCAGUGGGGAAUUUUGGACAAUGGGGGCAACCCUGAUCCAGCCAUUCCGCGUGAGUGAAGAAGGCCUUCGGGUUGUAAAGCUCUUUCAGCUGGAACGAAACGGUUCGCUCUAACAUACCGGGCUAUUGACGGUACCAGCAGAAGAAGCACCGGCUAACUACGUGCCAGCAGCCGCGGUAAUACGUAGGGUGCGAGCGUUAAUCGGAAUUACUGGGCGUAAAGCGUGCGCAGGCGGUUUGUUAAGCAAGACGUGAAAUCCCCGGGCUUAACCUGGGAAUGGCGUUUUGAACUGGCAGUCUAGAGUGCGUCAGAGGGGGGUGGAAUUCCACGUGUAGCAGUGAAAUGCGUAGAGAUGUGGAGGAACACCGAUGGCGAAGGCAGCCCCCUGGGAUGACACUGACGCUCAUGUACGAAAGCGUGGGUAGCAAACAGGAUUAGAUACCCUGGUAGUCCACGCCCUAAACGAUGUCAACUGGUUGUUGGGGGAGUGAAAUCCCUUAGUAACGCAAGCUAACGCGUGAAGUUGACCGCCUG
RNAcentral lists this ribosomal RNA (542 nucleotides) under uncultured bacterium. RNAcentral describes it as "bacterial SSU rRNA". It matches the Rfam family "Bacterial small subunit ribosomal RNA", at positions 343 to 875 of the family's 1533-position model. The record is from RNAcentral.